GGGUGAAAAGCCCGCUCGCCGAAAGCCCAAGGUUUCCUACGCAACGUUCAUCGGCGUAGGGUGAGUCGGCCCCUAAGGCGAGGCUGAAAAGCGUAGUCGAUGGGAAACGGGUUAAAAUUCCCGUACUUUUGUGUAGUGCGAUGUGGGGACGGAGAAGGUUAGGUCAUCAGACUGUUGGAAUAGUCUGUUUAAGCCGGUAGGCGUGAGGGGUAGGCAAAUCCGCCCUUCUUUAACGCCGAGACGUGAUGACGAGGGUCUACGGACCUGAAGUGACUGAUACCACGCUUCCAGGAAAAGCCACUAAGCUUCAGCUACACAAGAACCGUACCGCAAACCGACACAGGUGGGCAGGAUGAGAAUUCUAAGGCGCUUGAGAGAACUCAGGAGAAGGAACUCGGCAAAUUGAUACCGUAACUUCGGGAGAAGGUAUGCCUCUUAGAGUGUAGGACUUCGCGUUCGAAGCUUUGAGAGGUCGCAGAGAAUCGGUGGCUGCGACUGUUUAACAAAAACACAGCACUGUGCCAACACGAAAGUGGACGUAUACGGUGUGACGCCUGCCCGGUGCCGGAAGGUUAAGUGAUGGGGUGCAAGCUCUUGAUCGAAGCCCCGGUAAACGGCGGCCGUAACUAUAACGGUCCUAAGGUAGCGAAAUUCCUUGUCGGGUAAGUUCCGACCCGCACGAAUGGCGUAACGAUGGCCACACUGUCUCCUCCUGAGACUCAGCGAAGUUGAAGUGUUUGUGAAGAUGCAAUCUCCCCGCUGCUAGACGGAAAGACCCCGUGAACCUUUACUGUAGCUUUGCAUUGGACUUUGAACAGACUUGUGUAGGAUAGGUGGGAGGCUUUGAAGCCAGGACGCUAGUUCUGGUGGAGCCGUCCUUGAAAUACCACCCUGGUGUGUUUGAGGUUCUAACCUUGGUCCGUGAUCCGGAUUGGGGACAGUGCAUGGUAGGCAGUUUGACUGGGGCGGUCUCCUCCCAAAGUGUAACGGAGGAGUUCGAAGGUUACCUAGGUACGGUCGGAAAUCGUGCUGAUAGUGCAAUGGCAAAAGGUAGCUUAACUGCGAGACCGACAAGUCGAGCAGGUGCGAAAGCAGGACAUAGUGAUCCGGUGGUUCUGAAUGGAAGGGCCAUCGCUCAACGGAUAAAAGGUACUCCGGGGAUAACAGGCUGAUACCGCCCAAGAGUUCACAUCGACGGCGGUGUUUGGCACCUCGAUGUCGGCUCAUCACAUCCUGGGGCUGUAGCCGGUCCCAAGGGUAUGGCUGUUCGCCAUUUAAAGUGGUACGUGAGCUGGGUUCAAAACGUCGUGAGACAGUUUGGUCCCUAUCUGCAGUGGGCGUUGGAAGUUUGACGGGGGCUGCUCCUAGUACGAGAGGACCGGAGUGGACGCACCUCUGGUGUACCGGUUGUGACGCCAGUCGCAUUGCCGGGUAGCUAAGUGCGGAAGAGAUAACCGCUGAAAGCAUCUAAGCGGGAAACUUGCCUGAAGAUGAGACUUCCCUGGAGGCUUGACCUCCCUGAAGAGUCGUUCGAGACCAGGACGUUGAUAGGUCGGGUGUGGAAGCGCUGUGAGGCGUGAAGCUAACCGAUACUAAUUGCUCGUGAGGCUUGAUCCU
Molecule: ribosomal RNA, 1617 nt
Filed under: Chromobacterium violaceum
Lineage: Bacteria; Pseudomonadati; Pseudomonadota; Betaproteobacteria; Neisseriales; Chromobacteriaceae
Description: 23S ribosomal RNA
Rfam family: Bacterial large subunit ribosomal RNA
Source: RNAcentral